AGAGUUUGAUCCUGGCUCAGGAUGAACGCUGGCGGCGUGCCUAAUACAUGCAAGUCGAACGCACAGCGAAAGGUGCUUGCACCUUUCAAGUGAGUGGCGAACGGGUGAGUAACACGUGGAUAACCUACCUCAAGGUUGGGGAUAACAUUUGGAAACAGAUGCUAAUACCGAAUAAAACUUCGUAUCGCAUGAUACAAGGUUAAAAGGCGCUACGGCGUCACCUAGAGAUGGAUCCGCGGUGCAUUAGUUAGUUGGUGGGGUAAAGGCCUACCAAGACAAUGAUGCAUAGCCGAGUUGAGAGACUGAUCGGCCACAUUGGGACUGAGACACGGCCCAAACUCCUACGGGAGGCUGCAGUAGGGAAUCUUCCACAAUGGGCGAAAGCCUGAUGGAGCAACGCCGCGUGUGUGAUGAAGGCUUUCGGGUCGUAAAGCACUGUUGUAUGGGAAGAACAGCUAGAGUAGGGAAUGACUUUAGUUUGACGGUACCAUACCAGAAAGGGACGGCUAAAUACGUGCCAGCAGCCGCGGUAAUACGUAUGUCCCGAGCGUUAUCCGGAUUUAUUGGGCGUAAAGCGAGCGCAGACGGUUGAUUAAGUCUGAUGUGAAAGCCCGGAGCUCAACUCCGGAAAGGCAUUGGAAACUGGUCAACUUGAGUGCAGUAGAGGUAAGUGGAACUCCAUGUGUAGCGGUGGAAUGCGUAGAUAUAUGGAAGAACACCAGCGGCGAAGGCGGCUUACUGGACUGUAACUGACGUUGAGGCUCGAAAGUGUGGGUAGCAAACAGGAUUAGAUACCCUGGUAGUCCACACCGUAAACGA
This 819-nucleotide ribosomal RNA is filed under the name uncultured bacterium. Its description in RNAcentral is "bacterial SSU rRNA". It matches the Rfam family "Bacterial small subunit ribosomal RNA", at positions 8 to 809 of the family's 1533-position model. The record is from RNAcentral.